GGGUUGUGAGGUUAAGCGACUAAGCGUACACGGUGGAUGCCCUGGCAGUCAGAGGCGAUGAAGGACGUGCUAAUCUGCGAAAAGCGUCGGUAAGGUGAUAUGAACCGUUAUAACCGGCGAUGUCCGAAUGGGGAAACCCAGUGCAAUUCGUUGCACUAUCGUUAACUGAAUACAUAGGUUAACGAGGCGAACCGGGGGAACUGAAACAUCUAAGUACCCCGAGGAAAAGAAAUCAACCGAGAUUCCCCCAGUAGCGGCGAGCGAACGGGGAGCAGCCCAGAGUCUGAAUCAGCUUGUGUGUUAGUGGAACGGUCUGGAAAGUCCGACGGUACAGGGUGAUAGUCCCGUACACCAAAAUGCACAGGUUGUGAACUCGAAGAGUAGGGCGGGACACGUGGUAUCCUGUCUGAAUAUGGGGGGACCAUCCUCCAAGGCUAAAUACUCCUGACUGACCGAUAGUGAACCAGUACCGUGAGGGAAAGGCGAAAAGAACCCCGGCGAGGGGAGUGAAAAAGAACCUGAAACCGUGUACGUACAAGCAGUGGGAGCACCUUCGGGUGUGACUGCGUACCUUUUGUAUAAUGGGUCAGCGACUUAUAUUCUGUAGCAAGGUUAACCGUAUAGGGGAGCCGCAGGGAAACCGAGUCUUAACUGGGCGUUAAGUUGCAGGGUAUAGACCCGAAACCCGGUGAUCUAGCCAUGGGCAGGUUGAAGGUUGGGUAACACUAACUGGAGGACCGAACCGACUAAUGUUGAAAAAUUAGCGGAUGACUUGUGGCUGGGGGUGAAAGGCCAAUCAAACCGGGAGAUAGCUGGUUCUCCCCGAAAGCUAUUUAGGUAGCGCCUCGUGAAUUCAUCUUCGGGGGUAGAGCACUGUUUCGGCUAGGGGGUCAUCCCGACUUACCAACCCGAUGCAAACUACGAAUACCGAAGAAUGUUAUCACGGGAGACACACGGCGGGUGCUAACGUCCGUCGUGAAGAGGGAAACAACCCAGACCGCCAGCUAAGGUCCCAAAGUCAUGGUUAAGUGGGAAACGAUGUGGGAAGGCACAGACAGCCAGGAUGUUGGCUUAGAAGCAGCCAUCAUUUAAAGAAAGCGUAAUAGCUCACUGGUCGAGUCGGCCUGCGCGGAAGAUGUAACGGGGCUAAACCAUGCACCGAAGCUGCGGCAGCGACACUAUGUGUUGUUGGGUAGGGGAGCGUUCUGUAAGCCUGCGAAGGUGUGCUGUGAGGCAUGCUGGAGGUAUCAGAAGUGCGAAUGCUGACAUAAGUAACGAUAAAGCGGGUGAAAAGCCCGCUCGCCGGAAGACCAAGGGUUCCUGUCCAACGUUAAUCGGGGCAGGGUGAGUCGACCCCUAAGGCGAGGCCGAAAGGCGUAGUCGAUGGGAAACAGGUUAAUAUUCCUGUACUUGGUGUUACUGCGAAGGGGGGACGGAGAAGGCUAUGUUAGCCGGGCGACGGUUGUCCCGGUUUAAGCAUGUAGGCUGAUUAUCCAGGCAAAUCCGGAUAAUCAAGGCUGAGGUGUGAUGACGAGGCACUACGGUGCUGAAGUAACAAAUGCCCUGCUUCCAGGAAAAGCCUCUAAGCAUCAGGUAACAUCAAAUCGUACCCCAAACCGACACAGGUGGUCAGGUAGAGAAUACCAAGGCGCUUGAGAGAACUCGGGUGAAGGAACUAGGCAAAAUGGUGCCGUAACUUCGGGAGAAGGCACGCUGGUGUGUAGGUGAAGCCCCUGCGGGUGGAGCUGAGACCAGUCGAAGAUACCAGCUGGCUGCAACUGUUUAUUAAAAACACAGCACUGUGCAAACACGAAAGUGGACGUAUACGGUGUGACGCCUGCCCGGUGCCGGAAGGUUAAUUGAUGGGGUUAUCCGUAAGGAGAAGCUCUUGAUCGAAGCCCCGGUAAACGGCGGCCGUAACUAUAACGGUCCUAAGGUAGCGAAAUUCCUUGUCGGGUAAGUUCCGACCUGCACGAAUGGCGUAAUGAUGGCCAGGCUGUCUCCACCCGAGACUCAGUGAAAUUGAACUCGCUGUGAAGAUGCAGUGUACCCGCGGCAAGACGGAAAGACCCCGUGAACCUUUACUAUAGCUUGACACUGAACAUUGAGCCUUGAUGUGUAGGAUAGGUGGGAGGCUUUGAAGCGUGGACGCCAGUCUGCGUGGAGCCAACCUUGAAAUACCACCCUUUAAUGUUUGAUGUUCUAACGUUGGCCCCUUACCGGGGUUGCGGACAGUGUCUGGUGGGUAGUUUGACUGGGGCGGUCUCCUCCCAAAGCGUAACGGAGGAGCACGAAGGUUAGCUAAUCCUGGUCGGACAUCAGGAGGUUAGUGCAAUGGCAUAAGCUAGCUUGACUGCGAGCGUGACGGCGCGAGCAGGUGCGAAAGCAGGUCAUAGUGAUCCGGUGGUUCUGAAUGGAAGGGCCAUCGCUCAACGGAUAAAAGGUACUCCGGGGAUAACAGGCUGAUACCGCCCAAGAGUUCAUAUCGACGGCGGUGUUUGGCACCUCGAUGUCGGCUCAUCACAUCCUGGGGCUGAAGUAGGUCCCAAGGGUAUGGCUGUUCGCCAUUUAAAGUGGUACGCGAGCUGGGUUUAGAACGUCGUGAGACAGUUCGGUCCCUAUCUGCCGUGGGCGCUGGAGAAUUGAGGGGGGCUGCUCCUAGUACGAGAGGACCGGAGUGGACGCAUCACUGGUGUUCGGGUUGUCAUGCCAAUGGCACUGCCCGGUAGCUAAAUGCGGAAGAGAUAAGUGCUGAAAGCAUCUAAGCACGAAACUUGCCCCGAGAUGAGUUCUCCCUGAGACUUUAAGUCUCCUGAAGGAACGUUGAAGACGACGACGUUGAUAGGCCGGGUGUGUAAGCGCAGCGAUGCGUUGAGCUAACCGGUACUAAUGAACCGUGAGGCUUAACCUUACAACGCCGAAG
RNAcentral lists this ribosomal RNA (2923 nucleotides) under Klebsiella pneumoniae. Its description in RNAcentral is "bacterial LSU rRNA". It matches the Rfam family "Bacterial large subunit ribosomal RNA". Lineage: Bacteria; Pseudomonadati; Pseudomonadota; Gammaproteobacteria; Enterobacterales; Enterobacteriaceae. RNAcentral also lists the same sequence under 1 other name. The record is from RNAcentral.